UCCUGGGAUCAUAUAAAAAAA
Molecule: non-coding RNA, 21 nt
Filed under: Caenorhabditis elegans
Lineage: Eukaryota; Metazoa; Nematoda; Chromadorea; Rhabditida; Rhabditidae
Source: RNAcentral